AGUUUGAAAGAUGCAAUUGCAUCACUCAAAGAUGAUCCCGCGUUGUAUUAGCUAGUUGGUGAGGUAAAGGCUCACCAAGGCGAUGAUACAUAGCCGACCUGAGAGGGUGAUCGGCCACAUUGGGACUGAGACACGGCCCAAACUCCUACGGGAGGCAGCAGUAGGGAAUCUUCGGCAAUGGACGAAAGUCUGACCGAGCAACGCCGCGUGAGUGAAGAAGGUUUUCGGAUCGUAAAACUCUGUUGGUAGAGAAGAACGUUGGUGAGAGUGGAAAGCUCAUCAAGUGACGGUAACUACCCAGAAAGGGACGGCUAACUACGUGCCAGCAGCCGCGGUAAUACGUAGGUCCCGAGCGUUGUCCGGAUUUAUUGGGCGUAAAGCGAGCGCAGGUGGUUUAUUAAGUCUGGUGUAAAAGGCAGUGGCUCAACCAUUGUAUGCAUUGGAAACUGGUAGACUUGAGUGCAGGAGAGGAGAGUGGAAUUCCAUGUGUAGCGGUGAAAUGCGUAGAUAUAUGGAGGAACACCGGUGGCGAAAGCGGCUCUCUGGCCUGUAACUGACACUGAGGCUCGAAAGCGUGGGGAGCAAACAGGAUUAGAUACCCUGGUAGUCCACGCCGUAAACGAUGAGUGCUAGAUGUAGGGAGCUAUAAGUUCUCUGUAUCGCAGCUAACGCAAUAAGCACUCCGCCUGGGGAGUACGACCGCAAGGUUGAAACUCAAAGGAAUUGACGGGGGCCCGCACAAGCG
This 745-nucleotide ribosomal RNA is filed under the name Lactococcus lactis subsp. lactis. RNAcentral describes it as "bacterial SSU rRNA". It matches the Rfam family "Bacterial small subunit ribosomal RNA", at positions 197 to 931 of the family's 1533-position model. The record is from RNAcentral. Lineage: Bacteria; Bacillati; Bacillota; Bacilli; Lactobacillales; Streptococcaceae.